GACGAACGCUGGCGGCGUGCUUAACACAUGCAAGUCGAACGAUGAACCCGGAUCUUUCUCUGGGGGGUUAGUGGCGAACGGGUGAGUAACACGUGAGUAACCUGCCCUUGACUCUGGGAUAAGCCUAGUAAACGACGUCUAAUACCGGAUAGGACCUUAGAUCGCAUGAUCUGGGGUGGAAAGUUUUUUCGGUCGGGGAUGGACUCGCGGCCUUUCAGCUUGUUGGUGAGUUAGUGGAUCACCACGGCAUCGACGGGUAGCCGGCCUGAGGGGGUGACCGGCCAGACUGGGACUGAGACACGGGCCAGACUCCUGCGGGAGGCAGCAAUGGGGGAUAGUGCGCAAUGGGCGAACGGCUGAUGCAGCAACGCCGCGCGCGGGAUGAAGGCCUUCGGGUUGUGAACAGCUUUUAUUAGGGUAGAAGGGCUUCGGCUUGACGGUACCUGCAGAAAAAGGACCGGCUAACUACGUG
Molecule: ribosomal RNA, 472 nt
Filed under: uncultured bacterium
Lineage: Bacteria
Description: partial 16S ribosomal RNA
Rfam family: Bacterial small subunit ribosomal RNA
Source: RNAcentral